CAUGGGUUCUAAGGAUGUUGUUCUACACAUUCGACCUAUCCGAUCGUCGGGUACCAUUGCUAGAUGGUCACUUCGAUUGGUACAAAAAUUUAUUCCUAUACUAUCGGCUUAGGUUCGGACCUAUGAGGUCACACAUAUUAGAGUUCAUGAUCCGAUCGGAUGGUUGAUCAACGAUUAAGAAUCGUUCUAGGGUUAAAUGAUCAAUACGAUUGACAUUUAACCCAGUGCAAGUGUUGCAGGAGGAUCGAUUAGCAAUUCGAUUGCUAAUUGGCUUAAUUUGAUUAAGCCAAUGGACUGAGAUUAAGUCUAAUUAAAUAUAAUUUAAUUAGAUUUAAUUUGGUCUUGAUUGGAUCAAGUCCAAUUGGUUUAUUGGAUAAGCCAAGUGCAAGGAAAAACUAGUCCUAGUUCAACUAGGACUUGGGUCAAUUUAAUUUCUAAUUUGAUUAAAAAAUUAAAUC
RNAcentral lists this long non-coding RNA (458 nucleotides) under Elaeis guineensis (African oil palm). RNAcentral describes it as "long non-coding RNA (EGUI_LNC077362)". Lineage: Eukaryota; Viridiplantae; Streptophyta; Magnoliopsida; Arecales; Arecaceae. The record is from RNAcentral.